This 253-nucleotide ribosomal RNA is filed under the name uncultured bacterium. RNAcentral's name for it is "partial 16S ribosomal RNA". It matches the Rfam family "Bacterial small subunit ribosomal RNA", at positions 524 to 776 of the family's 1533-position model. The record is from RNAcentral.
UACGUAGGGUGCGAGCGUUAAUCGGAGUUACUGGGCGUAAAGCGUGCGCAGGCGGCUUCGCAAGUCAGACGUGAAAUCCCCGGGCUUAACCUGGGAAUGGCGUUUGAAACUACGGAGCUGGAGUAUGGCAGAGGGGGGUGGAAUUCCACGUGUAGCGGUGAAAUGCGUAGAUAUGUGGAGGAACACCGAUGGCGAAGGCAGCCCCCUGGGCCAAUACUGACGCUCAUGCACGAAAGCGUGGGGAGCAAACAGG